UACGUAGGUGGCAAGCGUUGUCCGGAUUUACUGGGCGUAAAGGAUGCGUAGGCGGACAUUUAAGUCAGAUGUGAAAUACCCGAGCUUAACUUGGGUGCUGCAUUUGAAACUGGGUGUCUAGAGUGCAGGAGAGGUAAGUGGAAUUCCUAGUGUAGCGGUGAAAUGCAUAGAUACCAUCAAGAACACCGAUUGCGAAGGCAGCUAACUAGGCUGUAACUGACGCUGAGGCACGAAAGUGUGGGGAUCAAACAGG
This 253-nucleotide ribosomal RNA is filed under the name uncultured bacterium. Its description in RNAcentral is "partial 16S ribosomal RNA". It matches the Rfam family "Bacterial small subunit ribosomal RNA", at positions 524 to 776 of the family's 1533-position model. The record is from RNAcentral.